RNAcentral lists this ribosomal RNA (218 nucleotides) under uncultured bacterium. Its description in RNAcentral is "partial 16S ribosomal RNA". It matches the Rfam family "Bacterial small subunit ribosomal RNA", at positions 57 to 305 of the family's 1533-position model. The record is from RNAcentral.
GCAAGUCGAAUGGGUUUAGACCCAUGGCAGACGAGGUAGUAACACGUAGGUAUACGUACCCCAAAGUCGGGCAUAAUCAGUCGAAAGACUGAAUAAUUCCCGAUGGUCCCGCAAGGGUAAAGAUUUAUCGCUUUGGGAGCGGCCUGCGUAGUAUCAGCUUGUUGGUAAGGUAAAAGCUUACCAAGGCUAUGACGCUUAGGGGAGGUGAGAGCCUGACC